RNAcentral lists this ribosomal RNA (328 nucleotides) under uncultured eukaryote. RNAcentral describes it as "partial 18S ribosomal RNA". It matches the Rfam family "Eukaryotic small subunit ribosomal RNA", at positions 1470 to 1796 of the family's 1831-position model. The record is from RNAcentral.
CCCUUAGAAGUCCUGGGCCGCACGCGCGUUACACUGAUGCAUUCAACGAGCUUAUAACCUUGGCCGAGAGGCCUGGGCAAUCUUGUUAACGUGCAUCGUGAUAGGGAUAGAUUAUUGAAAUUAUUAAUCUUGAACGAGGAAUUCCUAGUAAACGCAGAUCAUCAAUCUGCAUUGAUUACGUCCCUGCCCUUUGUACACACCGCCCGUCGCACCUACCGAUUGGAUGGUCCGGUGAAGCCUCGGGAUUGUGGUUCUUGCCGCUUUAUUGUGGCGUGACCGCGAGAACUUGUCUAAACCUUAUCAUCUAGAGGAAGGUGAAGUCGUAACA